ACUUAUUAUUUCAUUUCCCCCUCAGUCUUUGGUAAACAUGUAUGUAUUUACAUUCGCGAUUCAUAUUGGUAACCCCGGAUUGACGCAUCCUCCGUCCGCGGGGCGCGAAGCAGACUUGCGCGGGGUUUUCCUCAGCGCGGUCGCGGUAGGAUCUCACACAUUCCCCGGCGCUUUAGCAUAGCGGCUGUGGGCCGAAAAUUAAUAAUUAGAAACAGUUGGAAUUCACGAGAACUUCGUGUUCAUCAGCGCACUUGGUCGUGAUUAUUUUAUGGCGUAACGUUAAAUCACAUUUGUACAGGCAGACAGUCAUCUGUUAACACGGGCCGAAACGAAAAAGCCUCGCGACGCGAUCAGGCCGCUCACGGAGGAUGUGUCACGCAAAAUGGUGCUGCUUCAUGCUGUUAACGUAACCAAUGUGAUGUAUUUGUGGACAUUUGCUAACUUAAGGUAUUUAUCUGGAGAGAGGAACAAAGACGAAAGGAAAAGUGCCAUCUAAAACAACAGGCAGACUGUUCAGAAGAAACGGGUUGCGUUCAACCUACAUGUGGACACUCUUCUGUGCAAAGUGAUGGAUUUUCAGUGGAAUUUCUGAAAUCCUAUCUUUGAAUCCUGGGAUGGAACAUCAUCUGGAGCAGAAUUGUUCUUUUUUGAUCGCAAGUUUGUUGGACUUGUUGUUUGGCCAUGUUGGUAUGUUCAUGAAGUGAUAAAAGUGAUGUGGGUUUUAAGAAAUGUUUUUAUAUGACCCUGUUGGUCAAGUUAUAGUUAUAAUUGUAUUUCUUUGUGUGAAGGGCCAUGAUGGCCAAUAAGUAAUUUAAAAACAUUUUCAUGACAAAAUUUUGUCCCUUUAAAAAAUAAAAUGAUUUUCUAAAUAAAAAAUAAAUUCAAAAUAA
Long non-coding RNA from Megalobrama amblycephala (Wuchang bream), 890 nucleotides. RefSeq lists it as uncharacterized. The transcript has 3 exons. NCBI's taxonomy places the organism in Eukaryota, Metazoa, Chordata, Actinopteri, Cypriniformes, Xenocyprididae. The record is from RefSeq and is a predicted model, not a curated record.